Molecule: ribosomal RNA, 495 nt
Filed under: uncultured bacterium
Lineage: Bacteria
Description: bacterial SSU rRNA
Rfam family: Bacterial small subunit ribosomal RNA
Source: RNAcentral
UGACCGGCGGCGGCCUACACAUGCAAGUCGAGCGGAUGAAAGGAGCUUGCUCCUGGAUUCAGCGGCGGACGGGUGAGUAAUGCCUAGGAAUCUGCCUGGUAGUGGGGGACAACGUUUCGAAAGGAGCGCUAAUACCGCAUACGUCCUACGGGAGAAAGCAGGGGACCUUCGGGCCUUGCGCUAUCAGAUGAGCCUAGGUCGGAUUAGCUAGUUGGUGAGGUAAUGGCUCACCAAGGCGACGAUCCGUAACUGGUCUGAGAGGAUGAUCAGUCACACUGGAACUGAGACACGGUCCAGACUCCUACGGGAGGCAGCAGUGGGGAAUAUUGGACAAUGGGCGAAAGCCUGAUCCAGCCAUGCCGCGUGUGUGAAGAAGGUCUUCGGAUUGUAAAGCACUUUAAGUUGGGAGGAAGGGUUGUAGAUUAAUACUCUGCAAUUUGGACGUUACGGACAGAAUAGGCACCGGGCUGAGUCUGUGCCAGCAGCCGCGGUAAC